GUGCACUUUAUUGUGGCUCAGAACUUUUUCAUUUUUACCCCCAAGACUUGUUUGUGUGGCAUUUUUGCCAUUGCACUCAGGUAUACGUAACACAAAAGUGUUACAUUACCCCCUCCCCUGAUAUUUUCUUUUUUUUUUAUUAUUAAACACAAGUGGAAUUAAGAAUGGAAUAUAUAUAUUUUUUAAAU
RNAcentral lists this unclassified non-coding RNA (188 nucleotides) under Uromyces sp. H89819. Its description in RNAcentral is "ITS1". Lineage: Eukaryota; Fungi; Basidiomycota; Pucciniomycetes; Pucciniales; Pucciniaceae. The record is from RNAcentral.